RNAcentral lists this non-coding RNA (97 nucleotides) under human gut metagenome. RNAcentral describes it as "TPP riboswitch (THI element)". It matches the Rfam family "TPP riboswitch aptamer (THI element)", at positions 6 to 94 of the family's 105-position model. Rfam says of the family: Vitamin B(1) in its active form thiamin pyrophosphate (TPP) is an essential coenzyme that is synthesised by coupling of pyrimidine and thiazole moieties in bacteria. The previously detected thiamin-regulatory element, thi box was extended, resulting in a new, highly conserved RNA secondary structure, the THI element, which is widely distributed in eubacteria and also occurs in some archaea. Analysis of operon structures identified a large number of new candidate thiamin-regulated genes, mostly transporters, in various prokaryotic organisms. The record is from RNAcentral.
ACCGCAGGGGCGCUGACGCAAGUCGGCUGAGAUUGAGGAUAGUGCUUCUCAGGUCACCUUGAACCUGAUCCGGGUAAUGCCGGCGUAGGAAGCAGUU